CCUACGGGAGGCAGCAGUGGGGAAUAUUGCACAAUGGGGGAAACCCUGAUGCAGCGACGCCGCGUGAGUGAAGAAGUAAUUCGUUACGUAAAGCUCUAUCCGCAGGGAAGAAACACUGACCUUACGGUCAGCAGACGGUACCUGAGUAAGAAGCCCCGGCUAACUACGUGCCAGCAGCCGCGGUAAUACGGAGGGUGCAAGCGUUAUCCGGAUUCACUGGGUGUAAAGGGAGCGUAGACUGUGCGCCAAGUCUGGAGUGAAAGGCCGCAGCUUAACUGGGGGAAUGCUUUGGAAACUGGCGAACUAGAGUGCGGGAGGGGUGAGCGGAAUUCCUAGUGUAGCGGUGAAAUGCGUAGAUAUUAGGAGGAACACCAGUGGCGAAGGCGGCUUACUGGACCGUAACUGACGUUGAGGCUCGAAAGCGUGGGGAGCAAACAGGAUUAGAUACCCGGGUAGUC
RNAcentral lists this ribosomal RNA (458 nucleotides) under uncultured bacterium. RNAcentral describes it as "partial 16S ribosomal RNA". It matches the Rfam family "Bacterial small subunit ribosomal RNA", at positions 338 to 795 of the family's 1533-position model. The record is from RNAcentral.